GUGAGGAAUAUUGGUCAAUGGAGGCAACUCUGAACCAGCCAUGCCGCGUGAAGGAUGAAGGCCCUAUGGGUUGUAAACUUCUUUUAUUGGGGAAGAAACCUUGCUACGUGUAGCGAGCUGACGGUACCCAAGGAAUAAGGACCGGCUAACUCCGUGCCAGCAGCCGCGGUAAUACGGAGGGUCCGAGCGUUAUCCGGAAUCAUUGGGUUUAAAGGGUGCGCAGGCGGUAAAGUAAGUCAGUGGUGAAAUCCCUUCGCUCAACGAAGGAACUGCCAUUGAUACUGCUAUACUUGAAUAUAGUCGAAGUGGGCGGAAUGUGACAUGUAGCGGUGAAAUGCUUAGAUAUGUCACAGAACACCGAUAGCGAAGGCAGCUCACUAGACUAACAUUGACGCUCAUGCACGAAAGCGUGGGGAGCGAACAGG
Molecule: ribosomal RNA, 425 nt
Filed under: uncultured bacterium
Lineage: Bacteria
Description: bacterial SSU rRNA
Rfam family: Bacterial small subunit ribosomal RNA
Source: RNAcentral